This 1177-nucleotide long non-coding RNA is filed under the name Cricetulus griseus (Chinese hamster). Its description in RNAcentral is "lncRNA (ENSCGRG00015034787.1)". Lineage: Eukaryota; Metazoa; Chordata; Mammalia; Rodentia; Cricetidae. The record is from RNAcentral.
CUGUCUUUAAAAUUGCUUAUUAUUAUUAUUAUUAUUAUUAUUAUUAUUAUUAUUAUUAAUUCUUAAAAUCUCAUGUGUAGGGGGCUUUUGCCUAUGUGUGUGCCUGUGCUCUUCCUGGAUGCCUGGUAUCUGAGGAGUCUAGAAGAGUGCAUCAGUUUCCCUGGAACUGAAGCUACAGACGGUUGUGAACCUCCAUGUUCCCUGCCUGGACUCCCCUCAAUACCAGAUUAUGUCCUGGAAAUGUAUUUUUGUCGCAGCAACAAGACAAAUACCUAGUACAGAAAACUGGUACAGAGAAAUGGACUGCUGCCAUGAUAAACCUGGCCUCUGGGUGUCAGGCCUAUGGAACUGGCUUGCAGGGUGAAUAUGGAAGAGUCUGAAACUUUAAACUAGAAAAGCCCUUGAAUUCUGCAAGUAGAACUUGAUGGGCCAGAGGAUCAAGAGAAAUGAAGAAAAUGGAAACCUAGUUCAUGAAGUUUCAGAAUGGGGAACAAGGAGUCCAUUGAGAAUUGGAAUAGAGAUCAUUUGUGUGAUGGCAAAGAAUCCAGUUGCACUCUGGCCAUGUCAUGAACCCAAGUAAUGAACCACUUUAUAUGGUGGAGGGAAUUCAAGGCAGGGAAGCAGCAUGCAGGCUGUGAUAUGGUGAUUGCUUGCCAUUCUUAUUCCUAACUACAGUGAAAAACACUGACAAGUGGGGUUGGAAGCUAUAGUGUUUAGUUUUUCCUGGAAAAGAGCUCAAGUAUGUUUAAAGUUGCAGAAAAAGAGGCUGUGGCUGUUAAAAAAAAGUAGCCUGCCUCCCUUUGUACUGGGAAAAGGGUAAGACCCUAUCCAUCAAAAUUUGAAAAUGCAAAUUCACUUGCAAGGACAGCGCCUGAAAUGAGAAUGCUGCUGCCCAGUUCUUCGAAAGCAACUACCUCAGGAAGUGUUUCCCCAGGGACAGAACAGAGGCUAUUGUAAACUGACCAAAAGGGUCAGGUUCCACCUAAAGUGACUAGUGUCACCCAAAUGUUACUGGCCAUGCAACUAUGAAAAAUGCAAAAUUGAGUAGAUCGUGGAAUCUUGGACUAUGAUUUUAGAGGGCUGCUGAGGUCAUGCAGAGUGUGGCAAAGCUGGAAUUCCUGCAAGGAAGCUCCGCAAGGCCAUUGUAUGAAACCUUAAAGAUGAAGCCCAAGUUGCA